GCCUGGGUGGCUCAGUAAGUUAAGCAUCUGACUUUAGCUCAGGUCAUGAUCUGGCAGUUUGUGAGUUCAAGCCCCACAUCAGGCU
Felis catus (domestic cat) is the source of this 85-nucleotide transfer RNA. It matches the Rfam family "tRNA". From Rfam's summary of the family: Transfer RNA (tRNA) molecules are approximately 80 nucleotides in length. The record is from Rfam. NCBI's taxonomy places the organism in Eukaryota, Metazoa, Chordata, Mammalia, Carnivora, Felidae.